GCCCCAGUAACGGCGAGUGAAGCGGCAACAGCUCAAAUUUGAAAUCUGGCCCCCAGGGUCCGAGUUGUAAUUUGCAGAGGAUGAUUUUGGCGAGGUGCCUUCCGAGUUCCCUGGAACGGGACGCCACAGAGGGUGAGAGCCCCGUCUGGUUGGACGCCGAGCCUAUGUAAAUCUCCUUCGACGAGUCGAGUAGUUUGGGAAUGCUGCUCUAAAUGGGAGGUAUAUGUCUUCUAAAGCUAAAUAUUGGCCAGAGACCGAUAGCGCACAAGUAGAGUGAUCGAAAGAUGAAAAGCACUUUGAAAAGAGGGUUAAAUAGUACGUGAAAUUGUUGAAAGGGAAGCGCUCAUGACCAGACUUGGGCCCGGUGAAUCAUCCAGCGUUCUCGCUGGUGCACUUUGCCGGGCUCAGGCCAGCAUCAGUUUGCCCCGGGGGAUAAAGGCUUUGGGAAUGUGGCUCCUCCGGGAGUGUUAUAGCCCAUUGCAUAAUAUCCUGGGGCGGACUGAGGUUCGCGCAUCUGCAAGGAUGCUGGCGUAAUGGUCAUCAGCGACCCGUCUUGAAACACGGACCAAGGAGUCGUCUUCGUAUGCGAGUGUUCGGGUGUAAAACCCCUACGCGUAAUGAAAGUGAACGCAGGUGAGAGCUUCGGCGCAUCAUCGACCGAUCCUGAUGUUCUCGGAUGGAUUUGAGUAAGAGCAUACGGGGCCGGACCCGAAAGAAGGUGAACUAUG
This 728-nucleotide ribosomal RNA is filed under the name Metapochonia bulbillosa. Its description in RNAcentral is "partial large subunit ribosomal RNA". It matches the Rfam family "Eukaryotic large subunit ribosomal RNA", at positions 77 to 835 of the family's 3401-position model. Lineage: Eukaryota; Fungi; Ascomycota; Sordariomycetes; Hypocreales; Clavicipitaceae. The record is from RNAcentral.